GGAAGCCAAUCUUGGCCGGUGCUGGGCGCGGGCUUCAAACCCGUUGUCGCGGUACUCUGUGCCGUGGGUGGGUUCGACUCCCACUGGCUUCCGCCA
This 96-nucleotide transfer RNA is filed under the name Terriglobia bacterium. RNAcentral describes it as "tRNA-Sec". It matches the Rfam family "Selenocysteine transfer RNA". The record is from RNAcentral. Lineage: Bacteria; Pseudomonadati; Acidobacteriota; Terriglobia.